GGCAGAGUUCUGCGGAAAAGAGUCAGGCUCAUAACCUGAAGGUCGUAGGUUCAAAUCCUACCCCCGCAACCA
RNAcentral lists this transfer RNA (72 nucleotides) under Alphaproteobacteria bacterium TMED199. RNAcentral describes it as "tRNA-Met". It matches the Rfam family "tRNA". Rfam says of the family: Transfer RNA (tRNA) molecules are approximately 80 nucleotides in length. Their secondary structure includes four short double-helical elements and three loops (D, anti-codon, and T loops). Further hydrogen bonds mediate the characteristic L-shaped molecular structure. tRNAs have two regions of fundamental functional importance: the anti-codon, which is responsible for specific mRNA codon recognition, and the 3' end, to which the tRNAs corresponding amino acid is attached (by aminoacyl-tRNA synthetases). tRNAs cope with the degeneracy of the genetic code in two manners: having more than one tRNA (with a specific anti-codon) for a particular amino acid; and 'wobble' base-pairing, i.e. permitting non-standard base-pairing at the 3rd anti-codon position. The record is from RNAcentral. Lineage: Bacteria; Pseudomonadati; Pseudomonadota; Alphaproteobacteria.